This 497-nucleotide ribosomal RNA is filed under the name uncultured bacterium. RNAcentral's name for it is "partial 16S ribosomal RNA". It matches the Rfam family "Bacterial small subunit ribosomal RNA", at positions 28 to 507 of the family's 1533-position model. The record is from RNAcentral.
GACGAACGCUGGCGGCGUGCCUAACACAUGCGAGUCGAGCGAAAAGACCAGGAGUUUGCUCGUCUGACGUUAGCGGCGGAGGGGAGAGGAACACGUGGAUAACCUACCUAUCAGACUGGGAUAAUUACGGGAAACCGGAGCUAAUACCGGAUGAUAUAUUGCACCGCAUGGGUCCAUAGUGAAAGUCGGUUUUGGUGUCAGUAAUAGCUGGAUCCGCGCCGGAUCAGCUGGUUGUCAAUGUAAAGGCUUACCAAGGCAAGUAGUGGUAACCGACCCCAUAGCGUGGUCGCCCACAUGGUAGCUGAGCCAGGGUCCAGACUCCUGCGCUAGGCAGCAGUCGGGAAUCUUCCGCAAUGGGGGAGAGCCUGACGGAGCAACACCGCGUGAGUGAUGAAGGUGCUCGGAUCGUAGAGCUAUGUUAUUAGUGGUGAACAAAUGUGUAAUUAACUGUGCAGGUAUUGACGGUACCGGGUCAAAAAGCCCCGGCUAACUACGUG